AGUUUGAUCCUGGCUCAGGAUGAACGCUAGCUACAGGCUUAACACAUGCAAGUCGAGGGGCAUCAGUUUGGUUUGCUUGCAAACCAAAGCUGGCGACCGGCGCACGGGUGAGUAACACGUAUCCAACCUGCCUCAUACUCGGGGAUAGCCUUUCGAAAGAAAGAUUAAUAUCCGAUAGCAUAUAUUUCCCGCAUGGGUUUUAUAUUAAAGAAAUUCGGUAUGAGAUGGGGAUGCGUUCCAUUAGUUUGUUGGCGGGGUAACGGCCCACCAAGACUACGAUGGAUAGGGGUUCUGAGAGGAAGGUCCCCCACAUUGGAACUGAGACACGGUCCAAACUCCUACGGGAGGCAGCAGUGAGGAAUAUUGGUCAAUGGACGCGAGUCUGAACCAGCCAAGUAGCGUGAAGGAUGACUGCCCUAUGGGUUGUAAACUUCUUUUAUAUGGGAAUAAAGUGGUCCACGUGUGGAUUUUUGUAUGUACCAUAUGAAUAAGGAUCGGCUAACUCCGUGCCAGCAGCCGCGGUAAUACGGAGGAUCCGAGCGUUAUCCGGAUUUAUUGGGUUUAAAGGGAGCGUAGGCGGAUUGUUAAGUCAGUUGUGAAAGUUUGCGGCUCAACCGUAAAAUUGCAGUUGAUACUGGCAGUCUUGAGUGCAGUAGAGGUGGGCGGAAUUCGUGGUGUAGCGGUGAAUGCUUAGAUAUCACGAAGAACUCCGAUUGCGAAGGCAGCUCACUGGAGUGUAACUGACGCUGAUGCUCGAAAGUGUGGGUAUCAAACAGGAUUAGAUACCCUGGUAGUCCACACAGUAAACGAUGAAUACUCGCUGUUUGCGAUAUACAGUAAGCGGCCAAGCGAAAGCAUUAAGUAUUCCACCUGGGGAGUACGCCGGCAACGGUGAAACUCAAAGGAAUUGACG
RNAcentral lists this ribosomal RNA (913 nucleotides) under uncultured bacterium. RNAcentral's name for it is "bacterial SSU rRNA". It matches the Rfam family "Bacterial small subunit ribosomal RNA", at positions 10 to 915 of the family's 1533-position model. The record is from RNAcentral.